Molecule: small RNA, 1995 nt
Filed under: Rattus norvegicus (Norway rat)
Lineage: Eukaryota; Metazoa; Chordata; Mammalia; Rodentia; Muridae
Description: uncharacterized LOC108352868
Source: RNAcentral
AGACCCAAGCUAGCAUUGGUGACCUGUUCCCAUCUCACCUUUGGGAAGAAGGGACAUCUCUGGCCAUCCCUUCAGGGACAAUGGAAGCUCAAGAUCACACAACGACUUAGUAUAAGGCUAAAGAGCAGCAGGGCUCCCUCUCCUGGUGUAGAAGGGCUUUCUCUGGUAGCCAUUGCAACUCUAGGCGUGGAGACUGAACGGUGAACCGCCCCGGUGAGGGCAAUCCUCCAAAACAGUGCUCACGCUUCUAUGUGCCACAACCCUUUAAUACAGUUCCUCAUGCUACGCUGACCCCCAACCGUGGAACUGUUUUCAUUGCGACUUCAUUGCUGUAAUUUUUCUACUGCUGCGUACUUCAGUGUGGAUGUUUUUGGAGACUCAGGAUUGUCAGAGGGGUCGUGACCCACAGUGUGAGAACUGCCACUCUGAACCUUUCCCCUAGGGAACUUCCCGGAUGGAUUUAGCUACAUGCAUCAAAAACCUUAGAAAGGCAUCCAUGCGCUGUGUAAACACCUUCUUCUAGGAACAGAUUAAAGGGAGGAAUUCUAAAUGUGCUGAAAGGUGUUAUAUAAGCCAGAUUUAAUACUAUUUGAAACCGAAAUAUUAGGGAAAGAAACAUUUUCUGACGGAAACAAAAACUUAUUAAGUAUAGUACGGUAAUCCUUUUUCAUCCAUGGUUUUACUUUUUACCCACAGUCGACUAUGCCUCCCAAAUAUUUUUUUUUAAAUUCUAUUGGUAAACAACUAAUAGAUUUCAAAUUUUGUACUGUCCUGCUGUGUUGUGCCUGAGGCUGUCAUAGCUAGCAGUCGUGGUCAAUUUUACAGGUCUAUGUAGAGAAAACCUUAAUUGAGAAAUCGCCACCAUAGGACUGGCUAUGGACAUGUUUCUGGGACGUUUUAGUUAUUAAUUGACAUGGGAGCAUGGAGCCCCCUGUGGGCAGUACCAUCCCCUAGCAGGUGGGUCUAGGCUGUGUUAAGAACUGUUGCUAAGCAAGCCAGAGGAAGCAAGUCAGGAGGUAGCAUUCCUUCAUGGUUUCUGCUUCAAGCCCCUGCCUUGGCUUCUCUUGAUGAUCAACUGUAAUUCCUCCCCAAGUUGGUUUUGGUCAAUGUUUUAUCGUAGUGACAGAAAGCACACUAGAACAAGGACAAGCAUCCCCCUUUUAGCCGGUGUAUACACACGGCAUAUGCGAUAUUACCUGCUAAUUACUGGCUAUCUCGGUUAUGAAAUUGACUAACACGGUAUCACAGGCAGGCCUGUGUUCUAUUAGCCCUCGCUUAAUAUAGUAAUUACUCCAUUUUGUUAUUAUUAGUGUUACUUAAUCUAACUUACAAAUUAAACCUCUCAAAGGUAGGCAUUCAUAGGGAAAACUGCAGCAUAUGUUAUGAGCUUUUGGCACCGUUUUUAGUUUAGAUAUCACAGGGGAACAUGGGACAAACCCCUCAGGCAAAACAAGUUCCUGUGUAUCUAAAUCAUGAAAUACCGCAAAUCACUAAAGUGUGGUGAAUGCAGGUAAACAAGGAAGGGUGUUUACGUUUUAUCAAGAACCUGUGAAGAUACAGGAUACAAAACAGAAUGUUAUAAGAAUUUUUGAAUAUGUAGUGUGAUUAAUUUAAAAAAAGCUUUCCUUCUAUAUAAAGCUCAUCUCAAAACGGUAUUACAAAGUGAUGGCAGCUUUACCAAAAAUAGCACUGUGAAAAAGCACACAGGCACUUUUUAAAAGUCUACAAGGAUUUUCAUCUCUGGGAAAAAGAGGAAUAUUGUUAACUAGAUAUUCAUCUGUUUUAAUUAUUCUAGAGUCCGUUUACGUAUGUAGAUGGGUGUUUUGUCUGCAUGUAUAUCUGCACAUCAGAAGAUGGCUUUGGAUCUCACGGGACUGCAGUUACAGACGGUUGGAGAAGCCAUGUGGAUGCUGGGACCUGAACUCUGGACCUCGGAGGAGCAGCCAGGGCUCUCCCUAGCCCAGUGAAUUCUAAAUACAAAGGGAAAAAUUAUAA